RNAcentral lists this ribosomal RNA (428 nucleotides) under uncultured bacterium. RNAcentral describes it as "partial 16S ribosomal RNA". It matches the Rfam family "Bacterial small subunit ribosomal RNA", at positions 354 to 796 of the family's 1533-position model. The record is from RNAcentral.
GUGGGGAAUAUUGGGCAAUGGGCGCAAGCCUGACCCAGCAACGCCGCGUGAGGGAAGAAGGCUUUCGGGUUGUAAACCUCUGUCCUUGGUGACGAAACAAAUGACGGUAGCCAAGGAGGAAGCCCCGGCUAACUACGUGCCAGCAGCCGCGGUAAUACGUAGGGGGCGAGCGUUGUCCGGAAUGACUGGGCGUAAAGGGUGCGUAGGUGGCCUUUUAAGUUGGAUGUGAAAUACCCGGGCUUAACUUGGGGGGUGCAUCCAAAACUGUGAGGCUAGAGUGCAGGAGAGGAAAGCGGAAUUCCUAGUGUAGCGGUGAAAUGCGUAGAUAUUAGGAGGAACACCAGUGGCGAAGGCGGCUUUCUGGACUGUAACUGACACUGAGGCACGAAAGCGCGGGGAGCAAACAGGAUUAGAAACCCGGGUAGUCC